GAUGAACGCUGGCGGCGUGCCUAAUACAUGCAAGUCGAGCGAACAGACGAGGAGCUUGCUCCUCUGACGUUAGCGGCGGACGGGUGAGUAACACGUGGAUAACCUACCUAUAUGACUGGGAUAACUUCGGAAAACCGGAGCUACUACCGCCUAAUAUAUUGAACCGCAUGGUUCAAUAGUGAAAGACGGUUUUGCUGUCACUUAUAGCUGGAUCCGCGCUGCAUUAGCUAGUUGGUAAGGUAACGGCUUACCAAGGCAACGAUGCGUAGCCGAGCUGAGAGGAUGAUCGGCCACACUGGAACUGAGACACGGUCCAGACUCCUACGGGAGGCAGCAGUAGGGAAUAUUCCGCAAUGGGCGAAAGCCUGACGGAGCAACGCCGCGUGAGUGAUGAAGGUCUUCGGAUCGUAAAACUCUGUUACUAGGGAAGAACAAAUGUGUAAGUAACUAUGCGCGUCUUGACGGUACCUAAUCAGAAAGCCACGGCUAACUACGUG
RNAcentral lists this ribosomal RNA (497 nucleotides) under uncultured bacterium. Its description in RNAcentral is "partial 16S ribosomal RNA". It matches the Rfam family "Bacterial small subunit ribosomal RNA", at positions 28 to 507 of the family's 1533-position model. The record is from RNAcentral.